GUAUCCUGGCUCGGGAUGAACGCUGGCGGCGUGCUUAACACAUGCAAGUCGAACGGAACUCCUGUGUUUGAGGUUUCGGCCAAGAAGACAGGAUGUUUAGUGGCGGACGGGUGAGUAACGCGUGAGUAACCUGCCUUGGAGUGGGGAAUAACACAGUGAAAAUUGUGCUAAUACCGCAUAAUGCAUUUGGGUCGCAUGAUUCUGAAUGCCAAAGAUUUAUCGCUCUGAGAUGG
Molecule: ribosomal RNA, 233 nt
Filed under: uncultured bacterium
Lineage: Bacteria
Description: partial 16S ribosomal RNA
Rfam family: Bacterial small subunit ribosomal RNA
Source: RNAcentral